UACAGAGGUCCCAAGCGUUGUUCGGAUUCACUGGGCGUAAAGGGUGCGUAGGUGGUGAGAUAAGUCGGAUGUGAAAUCUCCAAGCUCAACUUGGAAACUGCAUUGGAAACUAUCUUGCUAGAGGGUUUGAGGGGGGACUGGAAUACUUGGUGUAGCAGUGAAAUGCGUAGAUAUCAAGUGGAACACCAGUGGCGAAGGCGAAUCCCUGGAAAAUACCUGACACUGAGGCACGAAAGCUAGGGGAGCAAACAGG
Molecule: ribosomal RNA, 253 nt
Filed under: uncultured bacterium
Lineage: Bacteria
Description: partial 16S ribosomal RNA
Rfam family: Bacterial small subunit ribosomal RNA
Source: RNAcentral